GUAUAGAGAGCUUAAAGAACCGACACAUUUUGUCCUGGGGGGGGGGGGAAACAAGCCACACGAGUUAGGUUACAUUCUAAGGGGGUAAGACAGCCAUGUGGAGGAACAAAUAACUUUGAGAAAUUCUGGGGCCUGGCGCAAUGUGCUCAUAAACAGUUUUCUCCUCGUCCAGUGGGGCUCUUGCCUGGGGAUGAAUUAUGCAAUUGUUUCAUCAGAGAUCAAAAACGAAGGAAGAGUUAGACUUCAAUUUCACCUACUUUCUGAAAACAAACUGUCCACAGGGAACACUCCUUACUGAAAAGGCAUCUACUAAAAAGGCAUGUUUCAAAGAAAACAAGAUCACGGACUGAUUGAAACAGUUGAACUACGUAACGCCCAUUCGGAACAAAUGGUUUUUCAGAUCCCGAUGAGGAAGAACAAUUUGCUACAGUGCAGUCCAUUCUGCCCACACAAUAGUAACAAUUUAUUGGAAAGGGCUGAACAAAGUAAAUACACAAAAAACAGCCAGUGAUGUGUUCCGCCAGGGACCUAUCAGGAUUCUCGUGUUCCAUGUGUUAGAAUACUCUUAAUCCAAGUAUUUAUUUAUCGGAAGACUUCAGUUAAAACGACACUCUUGCUCACCCCACGUGAGUAGUCACGUACCCUUCUAUUUGCAUGUAAGCGUGUGCAGUAUGUACAAUAUGUCUAUUUGAAUAUAGCCAUAUGGACAAAAUAAGCGUUGGUAUUGUCUUAUGACCAGAGUUUUUUUCAAUGCUCUGGAGUUAGGAUAUUAGCAUGUUUUAAUACAGUGAAAUUUGGGAGCGGCCAUCAGCCAGCUGUGUGUCUGCCAGUGGUGGGCCUUGUUCUGAUACCGGCCAGGUUAGUGUAGGGAGGAUGUAAUUACUGCAAGUGCUUCGAAUCAGAAAAAAAUCGAAUCCUAUCAAAAGACACGGCUCUAAUUUAGCAUAGAGUGUAAAAUGUUCUUUUCACUAAUAUCUCUUUUUCUUACCAGGAUGAAGCUGAUUUCUAAAAGCGCAUUCACACACAUUUUCCCUUUGUGGAAAGAGAGAUUAGGGUUCCCCAAAACUUAGCCCGAGGGCACAGGGCCUGAAAUUGUUUUGAGUGCAGUAGGCCCCUCCACACAAAGCAGGCGGGGGGCCGGGGGGCCGGGGGCGGCUCCAGCCUCAGUGAGCAAAGGCUCGGAGCUGGUUUGGCUGCUUCCUGCCUCAAAUGGUCGUCUCCCAAAUCACUCACGUCUGUGAAAACUAUCAGGUUGUUCUCACAGUUUUCCAAAGACCCCUGGCCCUGGUGGUACCAUGAAGGCAGUGUGUUUGUGCAGUGAUGGGACAUUCAGCCGGGUUCCAGGGGGCUCCUGUAUCCCGGACCGGGCCUGGAGGUUCAGAAAGAAACAUUGAGGGUAUUUCACCGUCGAGGGAUUUGGGGUUGAUUUGGGGCCCAUCUUUUUCCACAGCCAGCCCCCAGUUCAGCUGAAACAACUUCUCUGUACAGCUCGGACCAGGUGGCCACGUGUGCCUGUCCCAUCUUUUCUCAUUUAGAUGAGAUGCUUCCUUUCAAUACCAUCUUUCUUCUUGACCUGCUUAAAAAUUCCAGCGAAUGAAAUCAGCCCAGGGUUUUCAAUGCUAAUUGGCCAUGUGCGGGGGGCGGGGGGGGGGCGGGGGGUGAGCUCAGUGGCAGCAUUGUGAGGCUGGCUGCUGCCGGGGUGACCCUGCCCGCUUCCCCCGCCCGCCGGCCUAAGCCUGUAGACCGCGCUUCCUUUGUAUUAAUAUUAAUAGAGCCCCGUGCAAACUGUUUGAGUUGGCUGUUUCUGCUGGGUAUGACCACAAGUAAUAAAAAAAACAAAGUCAUACGCUUCCACAGCCUCCCGACUAGAUAGUAAGCAACUCAUUGGUUCCAAGUACAUGAGCACAUUGGCAUCGUGAUCGAAUCAAGACAAAAGCCUGAUGGCGCCACAUUUAGUUUCCUUGUCACUUGAAUAAAUCACCAUUUUUGGAGUGUGUAUAAAUACACACACUUUUACAUACACCGUGAAAAUAGCCAAUACCUAAAAUUCUUGGUCCAUUAUCUGCAUAGUCAUUAUAUAAACAAAAAGUCUUUCUGACUGGGGAUUCUAUUUGGACUUGGAUUAGUAAAAAAAUGUCGGGUUGAAGGUGGUAAGCUCGGCAGCCUGGUACAUGGUCUCUGCAGUAUGACUGGGCAUGCGUGUUUUUAGCUGUUUUCUCUCCCCCAUGAGUUCUGGGAGUUCUGGACUCCAAUAAUUUCCCCCUUGUUUGUUACUGCAAAGACUCAAAAGAUGUUGCCUUUUUAAAAAUUGACCUUAAAAUCGUGAGAUGAAAACAAGGCACCUUUCUGAUAGUGAUAGUAUUUUUGCUGAUAUAAGAUAGAAGCCUGCGCUGUAUCUGCCUAUUUUAAAAACGUGUAAUAGAGAUGAGAAAAACCUUAAAGUUGGGUCGGCCCUGUGCUCCUCCCCCAGGUAACUUCCUGUCUCAGGAAAAUCGGGGCGUCAGGGGCGUCCCACCAAGGGCCUCACUGGUGGGAGUGCUCGGGACUGGGGUCGAGGACGGUUUGUCUGCAUCCGAACCACACAACAUGUGUGUGCAUUUGCCUGUGGCCUUCACAGCUGUGAACAGGCCUGUUCUCAGUCACCGCCGUGUGACGACACAGAAGUCAGUUAUUUGUGAGCCUUGUGAAGUUUACAUUUCUGACUUCAUCAUGUAUGUGUGCCUGUGUGCGUGCACACACGUGUCAAUUUAUGUUACCAAAAUAGAAGAGCUCUCCUCAUGCCAUUAAGAAUGUGUUGGUGAAUACACCUCAUAUUUAAUUCUUUCCCCACUGAUUCAUCAAUGAUAAAAAUCCACCAGAAAAAUGGAUACGUGGGAGUGAUUUAGUCUUGUUCUAAAUCACUGCCCCAAAUGCACAAAACAUUUGUCAAAGAAGUCAAAAUGUAAACAGAAAACCUAAGCGUAAUACUGAGUCUAAGGUGACUCAGUGACACAUUUUCAGCUUGGUUUUACUCCCAUAACAACAGAUUAAUUAGUGAAUCUAGCCCCGGACGUGAGAGCGGACGGUUGAUGGGGUCUUGGGGAAAAUUGCAGAAAUUGCAUUGGCAUGGCGAUUGCAGCUACGAUGCUCGCAAACAUAUAAACGGGGGAGAGCUUGGAGCCUCUCCGGGUCUUGGCUCCGUAGGAGCACAGAUCAUCUCAAACACCGAGGGGGUUUUGAUGUUUCCGUUCGUGUGGGGUCCUGGUGGGGGGGCCGCUGCAUCUCCCUGUUUAUCCGGGUUCUUUAGGUGGCGUGCAGCUGUGUGCGGUGCCUGCCCCUCCCACGCUCCUUUCCUGUCCCGUGGGACUGUCUCGAUCAGUCGGAGAUGGGGUCCGUGACACCUGCAGCCCCCUUCCCCUCCCCCAGGACACCCUGUCCGUUCCCUGGCUCCUUCUGAAGGGAUCUGCCCUGGACCAGCGCACACACCUGCUCCUGAGGCUUCCCACCCCGGACGCGGGCUCCUCCGGCCACAGCUGCCUCUGUAAGGCUUCACCUCGCCCGGCCGUGCACAAAAUGGUUCAUUCAAAGACAGCAUUUUCACCCCACAAGUGGAGGGGUGCAGAAAGCUGGUCUCUAAAGGCUCUUCCACGGACACAAGACACGCAAGCUCCACACAUCUACACGUUCACGGGAGUCCUCUCCAUCCCUCCGCUGUCCAUCUCCUCCAUUAGCCGUUCAGGUCCCCAAAUGACCUAAGAUUAACACGUCUGUUUCUUGCUGGGGAUGUUGGCAACAUCAUCGGCCCGUCCGUCAAGGAACCCGAAGGCCGAGAUCUGCAUCUCGGACGGCGGUCCCCCAGACACUGAACAGAGAGAUGGUUCCUCUCCAAAGACCAGCGGGCAGCGCCCGAGACGUGGGCUGGGCUCAGGUCCAGAAGCUGCAAUACCGGAGAACGCGCCACUUGGGACCCACCCCGUUUUGGAACCGGACACAGAAGUGUAACUUGUCACCGUGGGGAGCACUUGCAGAGGUUUGGACUCGUGAUUGGCCAGGAAUCCAUCCGCAGCUGGGAAGCUCCGCACCUGUCGCCAGGUGGGGGCUGGCGCCACGGGACCGGUCCUGAGCUCCGGGAGGUGCAGCGCUGGAGCCUUCGCCGUCCGCCGCAGGUCCAAGAUGUGCCUGCCCCCGUUUGACGCUGCCUUGGAGGGCGACCACCUGCGGAGACCAGCAUUCGGGUUCCAGAACAUCCAGCCGCAGGCGCCCCCCUGGGAAGUCUGCAGCUGCCACACCGCUCCCCAGAGAGUCAGGAGGAAGUCUAAAUUUGAAAGCAAAGGAACACAACUAUUUUUCUGGUAGACAAACCCUUGAAACACUAAAAAAAAAAAUACGGAGAGCUGAUGAAUGUUUAAGAAUGUGAUGAUACACUAGUCUCACUCUGUGCUGGGCUGAUGGCGUGUUAAUUUGAUUUAAAAUAACUUAGAGCGUAAGCUCAGGGGUGAGAAACGAUUUUGAACGGGGAUCAGCCACAGCUGUCCUGAGUCCACCCGAGUCCCCAAGGCUGUGUCGCUACAUUAAGUCAUGGGGGCUCCUGAGUUCAGGGGGUUUGAGUGACAGCACCUUUUGAGUAGAGACAUCACAUGAGUCGUCCAGAGAGCUGCCUGCCUGUCAGUCAGUGAGUGCACCUGCCAGGUAAGAAAGGGCACGGCGGCCUGCUGAACUCACUGGGACAUUACGAUGCUGCGUUUCUUUCUUUUUUUUUUUUUUUUAAGAUAUAUUUUGAGGCAAUUUGGAAAAUAACUACCUAGAUUCUAGACCUAAGUCUGUGGCAGAAUGUCCAUUGUGAAGGAUUACAUAGGGGAAACAUGAAUGGGUGUCUGUGAGGGGGAUUUUAGCACCCACAUUUUACGUAGGAGAUUGAAGAUGGGCGAGGGGACAAAACCCAGCCAGGGAGCGGUGGUCUCAUCCACGAACUUGGCCUGCUGCUUCAUCACACGGAGCUGCCCGGGAAAAGAGCACCUUUGAAACCGCUACGAAUCUCGCACACACAAACCUUCAUCCGCGUGGACCCGGGUCGCACGGCUGCACUCCAAGAAGCAAAGUUGAAAUCAGCUUGUGAUAGUAAAUCGUGGAUACACGAAGGACAGUAAGAUACACAAACACUAUUGAUGAUUCCAGGCUCUUACUAAAGGACCUUCAUGUUGGAGCUGCGGAGUUUCUUAAAAAAAAAACAAAAAACAAAAAACAACCUUCAUUAGAAUAAACUCAAGUACUGGGGGCACUAUAUAGUUUUUCAACAAACAGCACACGUAUAUUGAUGUCCAAAAACAAACACUGCAAAGAUUGCUAGAAUGUAGAUUUCCAAAUCUUUCCAGAAAAUACAAUUUCCUUUUAAAAUUGUAA
Molecule: long non-coding RNA, 5379 nt
Organism: Artibeus jamaicensis (Jamaican fruit-eating bat)
Lineage: Eukaryota; Metazoa; Chordata; Mammalia; Chiroptera; Phyllostomidae
Exons: 7
Source: RefSeq, a predicted model, not a curated record